This 441-nucleotide ribosomal RNA is filed under the name uncultured bacterium. Its description in RNAcentral is "partial 16S ribosomal RNA". It matches the Rfam family "Bacterial small subunit ribosomal RNA", at positions 338 to 795 of the family's 1533-position model. The record is from RNAcentral.
CCUACGGGUGGCAGCAGUGGGGGAUAUUGCACAAUGGGGGGAACCCUGAUGCAGCGACGCCGCGUGGGUGAAGGAGUAUUUCGGUAUGUAAAGCCCUAUCGGCAGGGAAGAAAUUGGACGGUACCUGACUAAGAAGCCCCGGCUAACUACGUGCCAGCAGCCGCGGUAAUACGUAGGGGGCAAGCGUUAUCCGGAUUCACUGGGUGUAAAGGGAGCGUAGACGGCCAUGCAAGCCAGGGGUGAAAGCCCGGGGCCCAACCCCGGGACUGCCCUUGGAACUGCAUGGCUGGAGUGCGGGAGGGGCAGGCGGAAUGCCUGGUGUAGCGGUGAAAUGCGUAGAUAUCAGGAGGAACACCGGCGGCGAAGGCGGCCUGCUGGACCGCGACUGACGUUGAGGCUCGAAAGCGUGGGGAGCGAACAGGAUUAGAUAUCCUUGUAGUC